RNAcentral lists this long non-coding RNA (505 nucleotides) under Ananas comosus (pineapple). Its description in RNAcentral is "long non-coding RNA (ACOM_LNC029254)". Lineage: Eukaryota; Viridiplantae; Streptophyta; Magnoliopsida; Poales; Bromeliaceae. The record is from RNAcentral.
UGAAUACAUACAUGAUCAUGCAACAACAGCGAGAGCACAAACAGUGCUGAACAUUACAAGAGCAAGCGUCACAAGUAGAAGACAUACAAGUGAAACAAAAGAGAGAUACUUAACUAUUCUAUUACAACCAUUCAACUCGAUACAUUUAAUUACAACUUGCAUUCUUUUCCAAACUAUGAAUAUAAGCUUACAUUCUUCAAAAGAUAAAUAUUAGUUUACAUUUAUCUCAAAAUACCUCACAUCCUAUACAUCAUCUACUCUCAAUACAUGUAUAGGGUAACUCUAAUGCAAAAUAGGAAAGUAAACUACCAACUAGCAUGUAAUACACUGAACUUUAGUGAAGUAUGAAGUUCGAGUGUGUGGAAGGAUAUGUAGACCUAUCCCACAUGCUUUAAUGGGCUUGGACAAGUUUUUGUAUAAGUUUAAGAGUAAUCGGACUGUCGGAGACGAGAAAGUGCAUUGCAAUUUCGAAAUCAGCAUUUUUCUGCAUUGUGUACCGGUACAG